CUCUUCGGUUAAUACCCGGAGACGAUGACAUUAGCUGCAGAAUAAGCACCGGCUAACUCUGUGCCAGCAGCCGCGGUAAUACAGAGGGUGCAAGCGUUAAUCGGAAUUACUGGGCGUAAAGCGAGCGUAGGUGGCUUGAUAAGUCAGAUGUGAAAUCCCCGGGCUUAACCUGGGAACUGCAUCUGAAACUGUUAGGCUAGAGUAGGUGAGAGGGAAGUAGAAUUUCAGGUGUAGCGGUGAAAUGCGUAGAGAUCUGAAGGAAUACCGAUGGCGAAGGCAGCCUUCUGGCAUCAUAUUGACACUGAGGCUCGAAAGCGUGGGUAGCAAACAGGAUUAGAUACCCUGGUAGUCCACGCCGUAAACGAUGUC
RNAcentral lists this ribosomal RNA (369 nucleotides) under uncultured Psychrobacter sp. RNAcentral describes it as "bacterial SSU rRNA". It matches the Rfam family "Bacterial small subunit ribosomal RNA", at positions 449 to 813 of the family's 1533-position model. Lineage: Bacteria; Pseudomonadati; Pseudomonadota; Gammaproteobacteria; Moraxellales; Moraxellaceae. The record is from RNAcentral.